This 253-nucleotide ribosomal RNA is filed under the name uncultured bacterium. RNAcentral describes it as "partial 16S ribosomal RNA". It matches the Rfam family "Bacterial small subunit ribosomal RNA", at positions 524 to 776 of the family's 1533-position model. The record is from RNAcentral.
UACGUAGGGUGCAAGCGUUAAUCGGAAUUACUGGGCGUAAAGCGUGCGCAGGCGGUUCGCUAAGACAGAUGUGAAAUCCCCGGGCUCAACCUGGGAACUGCAUUUGUGACUGUAGAGCUGGAGUACGGCAGAGGGGGAUGGAAUUCCGCGUGUAGCAGUGAAAUGCGUAGAUAUGCGGAGGAACGCCGAUGGCGAAGGCAAUCCCCUGGGCCUGUACUGACGCUCAUGCACGAAAGCGUGGGGAGCAAACAGG